GGAAUUUUGGACAAUGGGCGCAAGCCUGAUCCAGCAAUGCCGCGUGCAGGAUGAAGGCCUUCGGGUUGUAAACUGCUUUUGUACGGAACGAAACGGUCUGCCCUAAUACGGUGGGCUAAUGACGGUACCGUAAGAAUAAGCACCGGCUAACUACGUGCCAGCAGCCGCGGUAAUACGUAGGGUGCGAGCGUUAAUCGGAAUUACUGGGCGUAAAGCGUGCGCAGGCGGUUAUAUAAGACAGAUGUGAAAUCCCCGGGCUCAACCUGGGAACUGCAUUUGUGACUGUAUAGCUAGAGUACGGUAGAGGGGGAUGGAAUUCCGCGUGUAGCAGUGAAAUGCGUAGAUAUGCGGAGGAACACCGAUGGCGAAGGCAAUCCCCUGGACCUGUACUGACGCUCAUGCACGAAAGCGUGGGGAGCAAACAGGAUUAGAUACCCUAG
Molecule: ribosomal RNA, 440 nt
Filed under: uncultured Rhodoferax sp.
Lineage: Bacteria; Pseudomonadati; Pseudomonadota; Betaproteobacteria; Burkholderiales; Comamonadaceae
Description: bacterial SSU rRNA
Rfam family: Bacterial small subunit ribosomal RNA
Source: RNAcentral